RNAcentral lists this long non-coding RNA (2010 nucleotides) under Sus scrofa (pig). RNAcentral's name for it is "lncRNA (ENSSSCG00035052623.1)". The record is from RNAcentral. Lineage: Eukaryota; Metazoa; Chordata; Mammalia; Artiodactyla; Suidae.
ACACAGAAGUAAUAUUUUAUAAGAUUAUUUCCAGGAAAUAAAUUUUUAAGUUCCAAGUUUCAGGUUCUUACUCCAGGCAUCCAUUGCAAUGUAACACAUUUUUGAAGUUGAGUAGCUUAAAACAAUAACCAUUUUAUGACAUCCCAUGACUUCAUGGGUCAGGAAUUUGGGCAGGCCUCAGCUGGGUGAUUCUUCUGCUCCAAGGGUGCCAACUGGCAUUACUCACAGGUACUCAACCAGUGAGUGCGCUCGUCUGGACAGUUCAAGGUGGCUUCCUCACAAGUCUGGUGCCUGGGAGGGGAUGGCUGGAAGGCUGGGGUCAACUGGGUCUAUCGACUCCAGCAUGGCAUUCUCAGGGUAACUGGUCUUCUUAGGGGGCACUGUAGAACAUCUUGGAAGUGGAAGUGACAAGGCUUCUUCUCACUCAGUUUCAGAGAGCAUGCAGUAUCACACUUCUGUCACCCAGUACGGGUUACAAGAGAAAGGGCCAGCCAGGAUUCAAGGAGAGUCUACACAACGGUGUGAAUUCCGGGAGAUAAGGUUCACCGCAGGACCAUCUUUAGAAGCUAACACCUAUGGUGAAGAUUUAAUGUUCUAAAUUGACACAGAGAGGUAGCUUUGCCUGGUUUCCAAGCCAGGUGCAGAGCUGUGAAAAAAGGGUUUCUGGAGACAACAUUCCACAACUAAACUUUGUAGUCCAAGGAAACAAGACCUUGGGUCCACUUGUAGUCCAGACCUGGUGUCAGGAAUAGCUUUGCUAUGUUGGGACCUACCAAAACACAGCUUCAUUUGGAGUCACACUGUAGUGCAGUGGGUUAAUGAUCUGGUGUGGUCUCUGCAGCAGCUUGGGUCACUGCUGAGGUGCGGAUUCUAUCCCCCACCCAGUGCCCGCUGCAGUGGGUUAAGGAUCCAGGGUUGCCACAGCUGUGGUGUAGUCACACCUGUGGCUCAGAAUUGAUCCCUGGCCCAGGAACUUCCACGUGCUGCAGGUGUGGCAAAAACAAAACAAAACACAACUUCAUUUAAAUUUUUUCUAAACUCUACACUUCCCUCAAAACCCUGUAGCAACUUCACCUUUUCCUUUGGUGCGACAAACCAAGGUUUCUUAGGUGUGAACUCUCCCUUAUUACGGUGAAUAAACCUGAAUCUGGGAACUAUGGAUUCAUUUCUGGAGGUAUUACGAUGAUGGGAUGAGAACACUGGAGGCUUUCAUAGUACACUCCUCCAUUUUACAAACAAAAAUUGGGAACCAGAAGGGUUUCCGGUUGUUUUCAAAGUCCUCACACAGCAGUUCUUGCACAUGAAGAGGGUCCAGGGUGUACACCUUCGAAAAUCAAAAGACAAAAUCAACUGUGGAGUGGUUUUCCUUAAACAUGUAAUCCUCAGUUUGAUCCAGGCCUUUUAAGACCUUCUUUACACUGCAGGUCAGCAUUCCUCUGGUGUUGAGAUUGAUGAGUUUCAUAACAUUUACCAGGAGGCGAUUGGGACCGCCAGUUCCCAGGACCUUCUUCCACUUCGCUCUACUGUUCCACAUUUCUUCAGCACCUUAUAUUCCUUAGACGAAUUUCCUUUUUCUUUCUUUCUGACUGUACCCACAGCAUGCCAAAAUUUCCAGGUGAGGGAUCAACCCAGCACCAUGGGCACCAACAAUGUUGGGAUCCUUAAUCAUCUGACCCACAAGAGAACUCUUCCUUUUUUCUUUCUUAUUCCUGUCUCCCCAAGCCAUUCUCUCAGUAAUGAGCAAUCUCCUGAACCUGAGAGCCACGACCCACCGUUCAUUCAAGUCUUCCUUUUUCCGGCAAAGCGCUUUAAAAAAGGAGAGCUAGCAAUCAGUUUAUCUCCAGACCAAAAACAAAGCAAACACUUUCUCGCAGACGUACAGUGUUUCACUUAAACUACGACAGCAAGCAGAUUACGAAUUCUUUGUCCUCUAAAGAAAAGAAAGCGCAUCCAAAGGCACGGGGAAAUCCUCAGCAGCGCCCGCAGGUGCUCAGGCACGCGGGCGACGGG